GGGGAGGCGGAGGCAGGAGGUUCACCAUGAGUUUGAGGCCAGCUUGGGCUACACAGUGAGUUCAGGACCAGCCUGAACUACAUAGUGAGACCCUGUAUCAAAAAAUAAGAUAAAGUAAAAUAAAAUUUUUAAAAAUCAUAAUUUGCAGUGUUGGGAUUGACUAGCUAUUACAUCUUUUCAUUGAAAUGAGAAAAGUGCAUAGUCUCUUAACUGAAUUUUCUUUUUUUUGACAUUGUGCUCAAAAUUUGCACUUUAUAUUUUGUAAGUUUAUUUUUCUUAGAUAAAAUUUUAAGUGCUAUCUCCUUUGAAUAUGUGUGACUUUUUUUUUUUUUUUGUAUUCUGAACUCAUUAAAACUGGUCCAUGCUGUGCACUCAGAAGUUGUACUCACCAUGACUGAAAAUCAGUCAUAGUCUACCAGGUUUGUGACAAGAUCUGUUCUUUGCAGUCAGGAAUUUCAAAGAAUUUUAUUUUUACUAAGAUGGGGAAUUGGCUAAAGAAUAAAGACGAGCAGGGGAUCAAAAAUAAAUCUUACAGUUUUAAUCUUUUGUUAAUCUUUUAAGCCAUCUAGAAAUACUUUAAAAAAAAAAAAACCUUGAAACUGAUCCAGAAAAAUUAACCCCUUCACUACUAUCUGAAAAAGAGAAAUUUGCCUUGAAAGGGAUUUUUUUUUUUCCCCAUUUUUGUUCUGUAGCUUCUGUUUGUAGUUAGGCUUAACGCCACACAUGAAAAUGAUUUGAGCACAUUAAUCACGUGAGAAUUCCUUUCACCCCUGCUAAGCUAAAGCUGUAAGAAAGGUGUUAAAGAAAACAAGACCCAACUCCAUUUAGAGCAGCAGUGACUAAGACCAAUGAAAGGAAAUUAAAAAGUGGCAGAUUCUAUGACCACAAACCUACCAAUGAGGAGUGAAUGUCCUGGGAAGUGGAGUUAUCUAUCGCUCAUAUAUCUAAGGUGCUAUAAAUGAGAAAACAGCCUGAGACCAAGAAUGAAGAAAGCAGCUACUUGUCCAUCUUGUAGCAGAUGUUUGACCAGAUGGCCACUGCAUGGCCUUUGUUGAGAAGAAACCACCUGGCUUUUAAGGAUUCUACAGAAAUCAAGCAAUGGAUCAACAAGUGGAGAAAAGCACCUGUUAGAGAUGAGGAUCCACACUAGCUGCUUUGAGCUUGAAGAUGCAUGGCACAGUUGCUGUCUUCAACCAACCACUGAUUUAAAUGAAAGAUAAGAUGUAACAGUGGACGUUUUUCCUUGCUUCCCUAAUGUCUCUUGGGAAACCACGUUUCAGCAAUUCCUAAGUCAUAUGUAUGUGGCAGCACUAUCUCCAGAUCGAGGCCAUAAUUCCCAGGCCAAAAGCCAAGGACAAAGGGAUGGGUCAGUAGUACAAGUUGAGCCCAAAUAAAUAGCCCUACAUCUUCCCAGAGCUGUGACGAAGAGGCUCCAGUCUGUAGAAUGAGUCUCCAGCACCAAGAGUAUAGGGAGGAAAGGAAAGAGAGAAAGGAACAUUGGUUAGAUUGUGUUGUUGGAGCAUUGAUACAGCCUUGCCUGAAGUUCCCUGGAUUUCCCUGAAGACCUUGGGCUUUCCAGGUACAUGAUACAUAAUCUUCAUCCCCUUUUUUUCCUUGAGCCAGUGUAAGCUGGGUUUCUCUCCUUGUCAGCUGAAGAGCCCUAAGAAUUGGUACUUUACUUUAGUCAACUGGAAUGGCUUCUUAGACAGUCUGCUACCAUUCAUCUUCCGGACAUCAAGCCCAGCUGAGGGUUUUGGCAAACAAGCCCAGCAUGAGUGUUGAUAAAUUUGCUGUAACUGCCAGACUUUUCUGCUGGCUAUUUUAAGGUUGAUGUGUUUUCAGAAGCUAGGAGAGAAACUGCUAGGACACUUAUUUGGUGACAUGUAGAUUAAUCUGAUCUUCACUAGCAAUGCCCUCAUUUGAUCACAAUAACCAUUCCUAAUAAGACAUCCCUCUGUCCUAUAAAAUCAGUUUUCUACCUGUGUGAAUGCGAUCCAGAGGCAAUAUUUGAGGCAGCAUUUGAUUCUUUGGCUCUUAGUAUAAAUAUGGGAUGUAACUGAAUAUGUGACUUAUAACUUCAGUUACCUUUUCCAUUCAUAAUUCUGUGUUAGAAACUGAUCUAUAAUCUCAGAUGAGUCACAGCUGGGAUUACUAAAAGAGAAAAUUCAGCCCAGGCUUAGGGUAACAGAAAAGACAAGAGAUAUUUUUGAAAUAUAUUUGAUAUUUCCAGGACCCUCACCUUCACCCAAGAUACCAACAUCCAAUGUUGCUCAGGAAUCUUACAUAUAAUGGCAUAGUAUUUGUGUAUAACCUACAUACAUCUUCCUGUAUAGUUUAACCAUCUCUAAAUUGCUUACAAUAUAUAAUCAAUAUAAAAUCCACAAAAUAGCUAUUAUGCUAUAUUGCCUAGGGAAUAGUGACAAGGAAACAUAGUUACUAGAGAAACAUAAAAAUAUUUUCAAUCCAUGGUUGGUUGAAUCCACAGAUACAGAAAACAUGGUUAUGGAGGGCUGACUAUAUUCAUUUUGUAAGUUAGAAUUGUAUUGAUGUUCAAUUAUAUAUUAGUCGGGAGUGAGAAAUAUACCAUAAUUUAGCCUCUGAAUAUUUUAAUCUAUUUCUAAAUGCCAAGCAAAGAAAUAAAAACUAAAAAAGAAACAGAAGAAAAAUGUAUACUACUGUGAGAAAUGUGGUCUAAAUAAAGAACAAGGAAAGACUAUACACUCUUUAAUCAUAGGAAUAUAAAAUCCUUCUUAUAAGAGAAUGUUCCAGAAGUGUGCUAAAGGUUUGUAUUAUUUUAUACAGAAAGAGGAGUCUUAAUUUUUUUUUGUAAACAGUUUGAGAUUUCAGAGUUGACUCCCUAAUUUAUUUAAAACAAGAAUUGCUUCAUGAAUUAGCCUCAAGCACUCCUCAGGAAGUUAUUUAUGUGGUACUUCACCAUGGCUGCAGGUUUAUAUCAAGCCACAACUGUAUAAACAAAGACUAUUAACCUACCGGCUGGAUUUAGCAGACACUUUAGUGUAUUUAAAUCUGCUGACAUUUCAAAUGACUAUGUCUCCAGAUUCUUCACAGAUCAACCACAGCAGUGACAAGACUAUUUCUGAGUAGCUCUAAGCCAAACAAUGUGUGUGUUCUAAACAAUGACCACUAAAAAAAUGAGGGCUGGUAUUCUGCUUUUACUCAAACUUAUGCUAAGUAUUUUCAGUGGGGCUGGAAGAGUAUCAGGGUGGCUCAAAAAUGAGGAAGGCUUCAGAUGGUCUUGAAGGUAAUGAUGUAACUCUUGCAUUUUUCCACAUAUAGCACAUAAUUAUUAGUAGUAAAUAAUUUAUUGGUCAACUGGGAGAUAAUUGUUUUUCCUCUUCUGUUUUCUUUCUUUGGUAAGAUUUUAGAUGAGUGGUAUUGUUUGGGACUGUCCUCCCUUCUCAUUGUUUCAGAGUGGAUCUCAGGAAGUGUCACUGAGGAGUGGGGACAUUUAGACAGGAGGAAAAAGAGCCAGUGAGAGGGGAUUUCCACCCAAAUGGGCAUCUGGGGCUUGGUCCUACCUGGAACCUUCGAGUAGCCUACAUGUCAGGACUUUGCCGGGAAGGAGCUAGGAAAUGGGGUAUUUACCCACAAAUUCCUUUUGUUGGUGCAGGAGUGUGCCUGGGCUUUGCAUUCUGGAGGAAAUCCCAGAGUGAGAAGGAGAAAAGGUUGGUGCUUUAAAUCUGAAGCUGUCAGCUGGCAAGGAAAGUGUCUAUGAUCCUUCCAAUGACUAGCUCAGAGGAAAUACCAAUGGUGCAUCAACAGGCUUGGAUGCGCUAGCCAUUUUUACAUAAAAAAAUGUUUAGGUUUGUCAUGAGAAAUUAUUUUUAUUUUCUCCAGCAGAAAGAGGAUCUUUUUGACUAUUUGCUUAAAAAAAGACUUCAGUGGAAUGAUUUGAGACAGGUUUUCCAGUUGUACGCUGCAACAACAUUAACAUGACAAAUGAACACAGAAGCCAAGUUAAAUUAUCAGAGUACUGCUGGGAAGCGAAAUAUUAUAAAGCCUUUAAACAUCAUCCUUUUGGAAUUUUUAAUAACUUGAAAAGAUGUUAAGUGAAAUGCUAACAUUAAGUGAAAAAAACAGGUUAUAGAACUGUACAAUUUCAGUUAUAUGAGAAAAAUAUUUAUGUAAGAAAAAGAAAGACUAGAAAAAAUAUGCCAACAGUUUUGUGAUUGGUUUCUUUCUCUGGGUGAUGACAUAAUGAAUAACUUUAUGACUUUCUAUGUUUUUCUUCAUUUCCCAAGUGUUCUACAAUGAACAAUUUGUACUAUAUUUUAAGAAGUAGAUGCAUGUUUUGGUUUGCUCUGUGCAAUCAGAUUAUAUGGGGAGUUUGCAAGAUAGACAAGUGGGCGCCCCAUAUGUACAUGUCAUGGCAGAGCAGCUUCUCUAUAAACAAUCAGAUAUUCUUGAGCUUGAUGAUCUGAACAUGAAGACAGCUGGAUUACUCAGUUCUAUUUUUGCUGCCAGCUCCCCAGGGCAACCUGGUAAUCUGUGGGUGCUCAUUUCAAGAUUAGGUACUGAGCUGCUUCAUUGUAAAAGACCUCAAGGGCAGUGCACAGUACAGUAUCUGCCAGCAAGACUCUGGUCAGGGCUACAGGAGGCGGUGGCUGCCUGGGUGGGUCAGAGGAGACCACCGGGGAGGCAGGACUUUUGUUCUUUUGGGGUCAAGAUGACGAACACAUCCUGGUUCACAGUUACAUCAGUUUAUUGUCCUCAGUUAACAGCCACUACAUCUAGUGGUAGCCAUAGGACAGAACAUUCUCAGUCCCAUCUGAGAAUAAGCAGCACUAAGAGAAGUAAAGGAAUAAAAUCAGAUAAUCCUUAAUGAGACAAUAUUCCAGAGGGACGGUCCAUUGGAAAAGACUGACCAUAUGAUGAAGAUAUGAUUAAAGACCAUCAUCACACUCAGGUAAAUGUGUACUAUGAGUUCAGGGGAGGCCAAGGAAGGAAAUUCAGAAAAAAAGUUAACAUAGACUAGAGUGGUUGAAAAAAGUUUUCUAGAGAAGGCAAUGCUUUGAAUAAUGGUUUUAUUGUAAAAUGAUUUGAAAGUCCACCUAAUUCAGGAGUGUUUAGUGUUUUGAGUGAUGAACAGCCUGAGUAUCUAGAAUUUUGAUCCUGUUCUGCCCCAGAUUCUCUGUAUGUCAUCACUGGGAAUAUGUUUCCUGGCCUAUAGAAUACCAGUGUCAACAACUACCUGCCCUACAAGUGUGGUAGGAUGAGUCAUGGAUGGUAAACAUACUAGUUGAACUUAGUGGUGCUGUUACCAAAGGCUUAAAAAUGUGAGACAAUUAAAUAUAGACCUAGGCAACAGUGGAUUCUUAAGAUAAAUGAUAAUGAUCAAAAGCUCAAAGUCUGCCUGAAAUGGUGUUCACCUUCCAGUUGAGUCAGGAGGGAUUUCUCUGCUGAGGUAUCCUAGUUACAAGCUGAAUAUAGAGAGGUGGAAUCAGCUGAAAAGUAGUUAUUCUGUUCCUGGAGUGGGCUCACUAAGCUGGGUAGUAUGAGGUGAAUUUAAAACAUCAUUAACAAGAGUGCUGUUUGGACGAGUUUGUAGCGCUCAAACCUGAACUGAAAGCUAUACAUCCUCAGGAGUGCAGGCAAUCAGCUAGAUUCGUAUCAGUUAACACAACCCUCAGGAACAAUGCCAAGAGAGGCUCAUCUAACCAAAAGAUUGGAUUCAUCACUGAACACACCAUGUCUCAGAAUGCAAGACUCCCCAUACAGUCACUUGUUCUGUUAAUGUGAAAUGGAUUCAGUUGAACAGGGAAGCAGCACACCAAAAGCAAGCAAACAGAGCACUGGCCCCGAUUCACACCAAGAACACGUUUUCCUUUAAGAUGGGCUCUCUGAUAGUCUGGCUAGGCCCUGCCUGUGUGCAUCACCAGUUGAAUACCCAUGGUGUCAGCUCUCUUACCCUGUAGGACUGGAGCAGUACUGUGAAAAAAACAGUAAGAAGUCAGUGUUUAUUUGAUCAGUCAUGGACACCAGGAAGGCUGUGUGGCAGUUUUGCAAGCAGAUACUAUUUUUUACGAGGUUAAAAACUACCUGAUAAGAGACCUUAUGGUAAACCUGCAAUAGAAAAACAAUAAGCAAACAAUAAAACCAAGACCACAGGAACACAGUAAUAACAUUUUGAUUGAGGUGAUAUUUGCAGCACUUUUACAAAUAUUGACUCACCAAAGAUGAGGCCGAAAAAUAAACCUGGUUUAUAUUUGAGCCAACCACACAAAGCAUUUGGAGUACUCCCUUAGCGAGCUUCUCACUGGCCCUGGAAUCAACCCUAGAAACAAGCACUCCUUCAUAUUCAACCUCCAUCUGCCACUGCAGAAUCUCCCACACCCUGUCUAAAUUCAUCACAGUCCUUCUCUGGUGGCUCACAGCAGCCUUGUCUCCAGUGGCUGGAGAAAUGAUGAAUAAAGAUCAGUUACAAGUGAUGACAUAUGCCCUUAUAAAAACAGUAAUUCCAUUUUAAUAUGUUUGCUUCUCCUCUCCCCUUUCUGUUUGCACUAAAAGAACCUGAUGUAAAGUCCUCUCUUUUCUUGGAAAACUUUGCUUAUCAGGGCCUUCUGCUACAUGGAAAGACAAAUUAACAUUGCUUUGUUAAACAUCAUACUAUGGGAAUGGUAAACCAAAAAACAAAUUGCACAAGAACAAGAAAGAGGACAAAAUUGAAAAAGAAGGUGUUUUGGAGGAAGUGAUUUAUUGUUGUUUUUUUUUUUUUUUUGGAACUGGGGAUAGAACUUGGGUCCUUGUACUUGUGGAGCAGGCAGUGAAACCACUGAGCUAAAUCCCUGGCCCCUUGGAGGAAGUGAUUUAGUAAAGAGGAGGUUCUCAUGUAGCAAAGGAGGCCUGGGGGUGUUUGGAGAAAGAAAUGUGCUCCUCACUCAAUUCAGGGACCCAUGGAAGCUCCAGUCCUUAGAGGACAGGGUUGCAUGAUGUGCCUGAGCACAUGGUGACACACUCUCCAGUUCCCACACCCUGCAGCAAUUGUCUGUCAGGCAUCUAUCCUCUGGGAUGUGUGUGUGUGUGUGUGUCUCCAUAGGGGCUUCAAAAUAGAAAUCAGCCUUGUCUACAGAAAAUAGGGAGAGGUGGGCUGUCCAAAAAGAGCAGCUGCUCUAAGCAUUUUCAUCCCUGACCCACACCUGAGUGGUCCAUCAAUGAAACUGUUAUAGAAUCUUUGCCUGGCACACUCAGGGGCAGGUUCACAUUCUGCUGGCUGAAAUUUAUUUAAUCUGGGGGACCUUCUUCGAAAAAAAUUAUAAAUAUAAAAUUAACUAGAGAGUCUUGGAAAGAACCAGUGCAACUGAAGAAAG
RNAcentral lists this long non-coding RNA (7328 nucleotides) under Heterocephalus glaber (naked mole-rat). RNAcentral describes it as "lncRNA (ENSHGLG00100045553.1)". The record is from RNAcentral. Lineage: Eukaryota; Metazoa; Chordata; Mammalia; Rodentia; Bathyergidae.